UACAGAGGGGGCAAGCGUUGUUCGGAAUUACUGGGCGUAAAGGGCGCGUAGGUGGCCUGCUAAGUCGAACGUGAAAUCCCCGAGCUCAACUCGGGAACUGCGUCCGAUACUGGCAGGCUCGAAUCCGGGAGAGGGAUGUGGAAUUCCAGGUGUAGCGGUGAAAUGCGUAGAUAUCUGGAGGAACACCGGUGGCGAAGGCGACAUCCUGGACCGGUAUUGACGCUGAGGCGCGAAAGCCAGGGGAGCAAACGGG
RNAcentral lists this ribosomal RNA (253 nucleotides) under uncultured bacterium. Its description in RNAcentral is "partial 16S ribosomal RNA". It matches the Rfam family "Bacterial small subunit ribosomal RNA", at positions 524 to 776 of the family's 1533-position model. The record is from RNAcentral.